This is a long non-coding RNA of Scylla paramamosain (green mud crab), 1700 nucleotides long. RefSeq lists it as uncharacterized. The record is from RefSeq and is a predicted model, not a curated record. The transcript is spliced from 2 exons. NCBI's taxonomy places the organism in Eukaryota, Metazoa, Arthropoda, Malacostraca, Decapoda, Portunidae.
GGUCAAGAUAUUUAUAAGACAAACGUGGUUGGUGAGAACGAUACGUGACAACACUGAGGGGAAUUUCCCGAUGCGUGACAGCGUCCAAAAAGGAUUUGGAUAGUAACAGCUGUCAAGACUUCCUUAUUGCAAAGCUUACUGAAAAUCAUGAGUAUGGCUAUACAACACUGAUAGCAGACAUAACCAAGAACUUAUCCCGAGUGUUUCAGUAACCAUUAUGUUUCCGAGACAAUGCUUCGAGUGAGGAAGUUUGAAUCUUCACAGUGACUUCAACUCAGUAGCGAGAGGACAGUGGACGGACAUACCUUCUCGUAAACCUCGAAGGCCGUGAGGUCGGCGACGGGGGGCUCCUCGUCUGCUGCAGGCUGGAGGAAGUACUGCCUGACGAUGAUGCUGUGAUGAAGAGGUCUCUGCUUCCUGUGUGUGUGUGGUAUUUCUUUCAUGCACAGAAGACCCAGAGGCAUCACUACUUGUCAAGGUGAAGUGAAUGCCUGUUAGUUUCUCAGCAUACUUCAGCUUGUCAUGUAAGUACUGUACAGCAAAUGUUCUUCUCUAUACAUUAGUCUUGAUUUCCCAUCCAUCUGCUGUAUUAUAUUGAUUUUCCUCCUGUCUUCUGUAUUAUAUUAACUGAAGAUAAGUCAUUACUGUUCUUAAUGCAUUGCUGUUAAUGACUCCUGUUCUGUCCAACACUCGUGGAUGGCACAGUGUUCUUGUGUCUUAAUACAGUAGGUAAUCACUCUCUUGGUCAUAGUCUUUGUUAGGGCUCACUUCAUGAAAUUUGUGGUUGGUUGACUAGUGAAGAACCUUGUAGUUAGAAUUCUCUUUAUUGUAUGUAUAUUUACAACAUUCGUCAACCUCAACAUAUAUACACAUCACUUCAUUCACAUCAUUGUCAAGAAAAUCAUAGUUUCUGCAGAUGAAAACAACAUAAGUACACUGAUUACUUCUGAAGGUGAGUCCAGCAUCUCAGUGAUCAGCUCAGUAGCACAGGUAAAGCUUCUGCCCAGUAUAUCCAGUGAGAUCCUAAACAUUACAGGAAGGUAUGAGAAUCUUUUGCUGCAACAGACCAUGGGAAAAAAAAAAAACAUAACAAAACACCAAUUGUCUCCAUCUAUCUACAUAUAUACACAAAAGAUAUGAAGCAGAACAACCACUUAUUAGUUUACAAAAUAAAAUUACUGCUUAUUAAAUCAUUCGUUUUAACACACACACACACACACACACACACACACACACACACACACACACACACACACACACACACACACACACACACACACACACACACAGAUUUGAUGCUAAUGUGAUGGCAGCACACUUUCACUUGUACAAAUUUUUAUUGCAUAUAAAAUUCCUCCACUCAGUAUGUACCAGAAUACAGCAUUGUAUUGAGGUAGUACAGAAUGUGAAUGGUAGGACAGAUUUCGCUCGGCAUAAAGUGGACACUGUAUGGACGUGACUAGUUUCAGGACUGACGGAACGAGCACAGAGGAGUGAGCAAGGCGGGAGUGGCUGCAGCACCAACACUGAACAGCACCAUUGCCUUCACUGCUCCACAUGUCACACUUCAUGAUGGGGUCAAGUUGGCACCAAAUAUCACUCAAAUAUCACUCACACCAGAUGUUGCCAAUCACCAGUCAUCACUUUGGCAGCAAACACACAACAGGUAUGUAAUUUUUUUUUUUUUUUUUUUUUUUUUU